AAUGCCGAAUGUGCCCUUCGGGGGAAAAGAUUUUAUCGCCUUUAGAGCGGCCCGCGUCUGAUUAGCUAGUUGGUGGGGUAAUGGGCCCCACCAAGGCUACGAUCAGUAGCUGGUCUGAGAGGAUGACCAGCCACAUUGGGACUGAGACACGGCCCAAACUCCUACGGGAGGCAGCAGUGGGGGAAUCUUGCGCAAUGGGCGAAAGCCUGACGCAGCCAUGCCGCGUGUAUGAUGAAGGUCUUAGGAUUGUAAAAUACUUUCACCGGUGAAGAUAAUGACUGUAGCCGGAGAAGAAGCCCCGGCUAACUUCGUG
Molecule: ribosomal RNA, 313 nt
Filed under: uncultured bacterium
Lineage: Bacteria
Description: bacterial SSU rRNA
Rfam family: Bacterial small subunit ribosomal RNA
Source: RNAcentral